Molecule: non-coding RNA, 96 nt
Organism: Mycena filopes
Lineage: Eukaryota; Fungi; Basidiomycota; Agaricomycetes; Agaricales; Mycenaceae
Source: the annotation of a GenBank genome assembly
UCAGACGUGGUGUAAAAUUGGUAACACGGCUUCGGUCAGUGGAAAAUCAGAGCAAAACUAAUGAAGCAGUUCGGGGUUCGAGUCCCCGCGUCUGAA